RNAcentral lists this ribosomal RNA (1966 nucleotides) under Clostridium tagluense. Its description in RNAcentral is "Bacterial large subunit ribosomal RNA". It matches the Rfam family "Bacterial large subunit ribosomal RNA", at positions 48 to 2026 of the family's 2925-position model. The record is from Rfam by way of RNAcentral. Lineage: Bacteria; Bacillati; Bacillota; Clostridia; Eubacteriales; Clostridiaceae.
GAAGAAGGACGCGUUAAGCUGCGAUAAGCUUUGGGUAGGCGCAAAUAGCCAGUGAUCCAAAGAUUUCCGAAUGGGGGAACCCACAUAGUAACAACUAUGUACUGCAUACUGAAUAAAUAGGUAUGCAGAGGUAGACCCGGGGAACUGAAACAUCUAAGUACCCGGAGGAAGAGAAAGAAACAUCGAUUUCCUAAGUAGCGGCGAGCGAAAGGGAAAGAGCCCAAACCUAGGUCUUUGACCUAGGGGUUGAGGAUAGAUCAUAAAUACUGCAAUUCCUUAAUUGAAGAUAGCUGGAAAGCUGCUCCGCAGAAGGUAAUAGGCCUGUAAAUGAAAAGGAAAAACAGUCAGAUCUAAUCCAGAGUACCACGAGACACGUGAAACCUUGUGGGAAGCAGGGAGGACCACCUCCCAAGGCUAAAUACUACCUAGUGACCGAUAGUGAAGAAGUACCGUGAGGGAAAGGUGAAAAGAACCCCGGAAGGGGAGUGAAAUAGAACCUGAAACCGUGUGCCUACAACCGGUCGGAGCACUUUUUAUGUGUGACGGCGUGCUUUUUGUAGAACGAGCCAACGAGUUACGAUAUGUAGCAAGGUUAAGUACUUAAGGUACGGAGCCGAAGGGAAACCAAGUCUGAAUAGGGCGCUAUAGUUGCAUGUCGUAGACCCGAAACCGGGUGACCUAUCCAUGGCCAGGAUGAAGCGGAAGUAAAAUUCCGUGGAGGUCCGAACCACGUUGGUGUUGAAAAACCAUGGGAUGAGCUGUGGAUAGCGGAGAAAUUCCAAUCGAACUCGGAGAUAGCUGGUUCUCCUCGAAAUAGCUUUAGGGCUAGCGUCGAUUAAUUGAGUAAUGGAGGUAGAGCACUGAAUGGGCUAGGGGCUGACAACAGUUACUGAACCCUAUCAAACUCCGAAUGCCAUAUACUUUUAUUUCGGCAGUCAGACUGCGAAUGAUAAGAUCCGUAGUCAAAAGGGAAACAGCCCAGACCAUCAGCUAAGGUCCCAAAGUGUAAGUUAAGUGGAAAAGGAUGUGGGAUUUCUAAGACAACUAGGAUGUUGGCUCAGAAGCAGCCACUCAUUCAAAGAGUGCGUAAUAGCUCACUAGUCAAGAGAUCCUGCGCCGAAGAUGUCCGGGGCUAAAACUUACCACCGAAGCUAUGGGUGUACACUAUGUGUACGCGGUAGAGGAGCUUUCUGUACUGGCUGAAGUCAUACCGUAAGGAGUGGUGGACGGUACAGAAGUGAGAAUGUUGGCAUAAGUAGCGAGAGUUAAGUGAGAAUCUUAACGGUCGAAAACCUAAGGUUUCCUGAGGAAGGCUCGUCCUCUCAGGGUUAGUCGGGACCUAAGCCGAGGCCGAAAGGCGUAGGUGAUGGACAAUCGGUUGAUAUUCCGAUACCACCAAUGGACGUUAUUAGAAAUGGGAUGACGCAGGAGGAUAAGAUGUGCACACUAUUGGAUGUGUGUCUAAGCAUUUAGGCGGAGCAAGCAGGCAAAUCCGUUUGCUCUUAACGCUGAGAUGUUAUGGGGAAGGGAAUUUAUUCCUGAAGUAUCUGAUUCCACGCUGCCAAGAAAAGUCUCUAUCGAGGAUAUUGGUGCCCGUACCGCAAACCGACACAGGUAGGUGAGGAGAGAAUCCUAAGACCAUCGGAAGAAUUGCUGUUAAGGAACUCGGCAAAUUGACCCCGUAACUUCGGGAGAAGGGGUGCCUACGAAAGUAGGUCGCAGAGAAUAGGCCCAAGCAACUGUUUAGCAAAAACACAGGUCUCUGCUAAAGCGAAAGCUGAUGUAUAGGGGCUGACGCCUGCCCGGUGCUGGAAGGUUAAGGGGAUUACUUAGCGCAAGCGAAGGUAUGAACUUAAGCCCCAGUAAACGGCGGCCGUAACUAUAACGGUCCUAAGGUAGCGAAAUUCCUUGUCGGGUAAGUUCCGACCCGCACGAAUGGCGUAAUGAUUUGGGCACUGUCUCAACA